CCCCCACGAUCCCAACACAACCCCAGCCUACUUAACGAGACAGCUUAAACAAGCGACAACACAUCAUCAUACAUGUUGUAUUAACAUUGCCGGGGAAAAACAAAGUACUUAAUCUACAUCAAAAGGCACGUUUAAUACAUGUUGUAUUAAACGACACAUCAUCAUACAUGUUGUAUUAACAUUGCCAGGGAAAGCCUACUUAACGAGACCAACUUAUCUAGCUAAUUUAAACGAGGAAAUGAAAAAUACACUUUCUUGAGACCCCAAGAGGGUGUAAAUACGUAUAUAAUGACGAGCAAACGUAACCCGAUUAACUAAAACUGCCGAACAUCCGUUACGUGCCAUUCUUGUUGGUUCGACGAGGUAGACUCUUUGUUCUCAGUCUUCUACAUCGAUGACAACGUCUUCUUGGACAGACAUGACUUCAUCGUCUACUUUGAACAAGGAUCGUCUAAACUUUUAAAACCUCUCGUCUAUCUAACGUCGUCAUGUCGGAUAGCGUACUACCUCUUUUCCUCGCAUCUCUUCUUGUAAACCGAACUCGACCUUGCACUCCACGAAGUGUGGAAUCCCUAAAGUAGAUGACUUACCUGAAUUGGUUGUUCCUGUAUCUUCGUGAGAACCCACCUGUAUGAGACAAAAUCCUCUUUUCGAGGAGGCCUAUCGAGCCCUAAG
RNAcentral lists this ribosomal RNA (675 nucleotides) under Triticum aestivum (bread wheat). Its description in RNAcentral is "partial small subunit ribosomal RNA". The record is from RNAcentral. Lineage: Eukaryota; Viridiplantae; Streptophyta; Magnoliopsida; Poales; Poaceae.